GACAGAGGUGCCGAGCGUUAGGCGGAAUUACUGGGCGUAAAGCGUGCGCAGGCGGUUCGUUAAGUUCGUUGUGAAAGCCCCGGGCUCAACCUGGGAACUGCAAUGGAAACUGGCGGGCUUGAAUGCGGCAGAGGGGGGUGGAAUUCCGCGUGUAGCAGUGAAAUGCGUAGAGAUGCGGAGGAACACCGAUGGCGAAGGCAGCCCCCUGGGCCGACAUUGACGCUCAGGCACGAAAGCGUGGGGAGCAAACAGG
Molecule: ribosomal RNA, 253 nt
Filed under: uncultured bacterium
Lineage: Bacteria
Description: partial 16S ribosomal RNA
Rfam family: Bacterial small subunit ribosomal RNA
Source: RNAcentral